UUGACCCUGGUCUCAUAUGCGCCAAGAACCUCAAAUUUAAAAUUGGGAUUUUUUUUUACUUAAAAAAAAAAUCUGACUACCCUCAAAUAUACAAAUGAUUCUAGUCUUCCCUGAUUUCUAAAAGGUCCUGAUACCAAACAUGAACCUGCAUUUUCAUCCAUCUUUGCAACCAGUAUUGAUAGAGUGGCUACUGUGACUUGCACUAAGCUGGGUGGGCAUGCUUUAGGCACCCAGGGAAGCAAGGCAUGGUCUCUCACCUCAAGGAGCCCACCCACUUCCAGGAGAAACAGGUCUGUCCACUUGAAACUGCCCUGGUGUGAUGCAUGGCUUGCUGGAGGCAUGGAGAAGUGGGAAAAUUCUAAGGUGAUUCGAGUUGGGACCUACUCAGAGAAUGGUUCAUAUAAGGAAGAAUAAGUACCCCGAUAUGGGUGGAUAAUUUCUCACAAGAGACAUGACUUGAGCAAAGAUACACAAACAUAAAAAGUAGCUUUGCCACUUCAUUCUUGGGCCCACGCUGAAGAACCAGUCUUUUUCUGAAACAUUGCUAAGAAUGUGGCAGAAGGAAGAGAUAUGGCAGAACUUCAUCAUGGCCCUGACAAACUCUGCUCUGAAAACCUUCAUGAUGGUGCUGAAAACUGACUCCCCCUGAGAGUUCCUUGGCUAAAUGAGUCACUUGGCCAAGCCUGACAUCCUCAGAGUGGGAAAACAAUCUUCCCAAAAUAAGGGCACCAUAAAUUACAUAGCCAAACCUCAUGUCAGUAGAAUGGCAGGUAAAAUCCUCCCACAAGAAGGAGCAGCAUAUAUUUGGAAAUAAAAAAUGCAGUCCA
Molecule: long non-coding RNA, 827 nt
Filed under: Homo sapiens (human)
Lineage: Eukaryota; Metazoa; Chordata; Mammalia; Primates; Hominidae
Description: HSALNT0319684
Source: RNAcentral